This 654-nucleotide long non-coding RNA is filed under the name Nicotiana benthamiana. Its description in RNAcentral is "long non-coding RNA (NBEN_LNC008631)". Lineage: Eukaryota; Viridiplantae; Streptophyta; Magnoliopsida; Solanales; Solanaceae. The record is from RNAcentral.
CUCUCUCUCCCUCCCGAACCAUGGUUACCAACAGAGAUUGCCAGUUGCAAUCAGAACUGAAAAAAAUCAAGAGCGCUCCGCCUACAAAAAUAAAGGAAAACUGAAAAUGGCUAAAAAAAACCUAUGACAGUCAACAGAUUCGAGCGUAGUUUAUGUCGAAAAAUUUUUCAAGUGAACUUUUCUUUUUAAGUUUUCAGAUUUAUUCAAAGUAUUACUCCCAAAUCCUACCAAAUUUUGAACCCAUAAUUGCAAUUUCUUCUAAGUUCGUCGAAGAAGAACCGCAAGUGUUUCGACAUGCUUCGGUGACCCAAAACGAACCAAUAUCACCCAAAUUCACCAUUUUCGGUUAAAGCCAAGAAUUUUCCUGAAUUUUGCAUUUGUUCUAUUCGAUUUUAAAUCCUGAAACUCAAUUUCCAGCAACUGUAGCUCGUCAGAGUUUUGCAAAAUAUUAGGGCUGAUGUUUACGAUGGUGAAAUGGUCUGAAAUUUUGUGAAAAGAAUCGAUCUGGAGGUGGAGAAUAAAUUUCACGGUUUAGAAUUUACAAUUUUGCCUACAAUUAAGCUUAGCCAUGGUUAUCAGGGUACUUUCCUUGUUCUUUCGUUUGGCAGAAGAAAACGGAAAAGAAGGGGGUUCGGGAAAGAUGACGAAAGGGAG